Diospyros lotus (date-plum) is the source of this 107-nucleotide small nucleolar RNA. The record is from RefSeq and is a predicted model, not a curated record. NCBI's taxonomy places the organism in Eukaryota, Viridiplantae, Streptophyta, Magnoliopsida, Ericales, Ebenaceae.
AAGCCAUGACUCGGACACUUUCUCAAUAACUCCUUGAACCUCUCCCAUGCUUCAUGAAAGUUUUCAGACUCGGCUUGCUGAAAAGUUGAAAUCUCAUGUUUAAGUUG